UGCAAAAAAUAAGGUGCCUUAUAAGGUGGAUCUUGCCCCUAACCUAUACAUCUAAUUAUGACAUUUUUUUUUUCUAGAACAAAGUGAACUUACUCCAGAAGACAUGUCAAAGCUUGGUGCUUUUUUUCCUGUUACCAUCAUAUGCAUUGGCCAUACUCCCUUACAGAUCUUUUUCCACUGACUUUGGAUAUACUGAGAAACACUUUUCCCCUUUUCUCUGCUCUGACUGCACCAGUCAGUAUUUUGUGAUCUUUCAGCAAUGGUUUUCAAGCAGAAGUGAUCCUCAGACUUCACUUCAUCAUGCCAGGCUCCAGCCCACUGAGCAAAAGCUGCCAGUUCUCUUCAGCUUUUCUACAAGAUCCAGCCUGGCAGAGGCAUUUUCAUCAGCUUUGAGUGUGAGACAGCUCAUCCCUCACACCGAUCUGAUUCACGCUAACGAGACAUACAUGGGCAACUGCCAGCAAUAAAUUUGCAGCCCUGCCAGUUUCCCAAGAAUGUGUUGGUUUCUGCGUAGCUCCAUGAAUACUAUCUCUCACAUUUGAAAAGUUCAGAAGUUCGUUCCCCUUGAGCCAGGCCAAACGAAAGUCUUGCAACCAAAGAUGAGACGUUGAGCAAUAAUUCUCAAAAGGGUAAAGAGGAGCAGCUGUGAAGGAGAGAACAGAGCUGUUUAUACAAAGUGGUUCAUUGUAAACCUGCAGUGAGAUCAGAGCAGUGCCAGCCUGGUGGUUAAAGGACAGCAGCGAGCUGAGAGCUGCAUUUAAAGAGCUAAACAGCAUGAACUGUAUCUUCAUCUGCUCAAAAGCAUUUAUAGCAUUAUGAAGAAGAAUGUAAAAAGAAAGGAGUUUCAAAAGGCACAAAGAGGGCAGAAAUACUUGGUCACAGUGUCACAGUGGUAUCAGAAACAAGUCAGGUAUCUUAUGCACUCAAAUCAAUGUGUGUUAUAUCAUGUAUAUUGCUGUUUAUGUCAUGGCUAUCCCUCUAGUUUGGACAAGAAAAUUACAGUGGCUUUGCUACAUACUUCUUCAAAGUAAUGUUUUAUUGUUUCUUUUUCUUCCUUAAUACUUCUUUUCAAGAGAAGUGUGGAU
Meleagris gallopavo (turkey) is the source of this 1085-nucleotide non-coding RNA. Lineage: Eukaryota; Metazoa; Chordata; Aves; Galliformes; Phasianidae. The record is from RefSeq and is a predicted model, not a curated record.